GGAGAUAAUAUAACAGUUCUGCUAAAACUGUAAUCCAUUGAUUAUUUUUAAUGGUAUCUCCU
RNAcentral lists this transfer RNA (62 nucleotides) under Xenoturbella bocki. Its description in RNAcentral is "transfer RNA-Ser (AGY)". The record is from RNAcentral. Lineage: Eukaryota; Metazoa; Xenacoelomorpha; Xenoturbellidae.